This 76-nucleotide transfer RNA is filed under the name Chloroflexota bacterium. RNAcentral's name for it is "tRNA-Arg". It matches the Rfam family "tRNA". From Rfam's summary of the family: Transfer RNA (tRNA) molecules are approximately 80 nucleotides in length. Their secondary structure includes four short double-helical elements and three loops (D, anti-codon, and T loops). The record is from RNAcentral. Lineage: Bacteria; Bacillati; Chloroflexota.
GCUCCGGUAAUUCAAUUGGAUAGAAUGUGGCUCUCCUAAAGCCGUCAUCUGGGUUCAAGUCCCAGCCGGAGUACCA